This 120-nucleotide ribosomal RNA is filed under the name Colletotrichum higginsianum. The record is from RNAcentral. Lineage: Eukaryota; Fungi; Ascomycota; Sordariomycetes; Glomerellales; Glomerellaceae.
ACAUGCGACCAUACCCACUGGAGAACUCGGGAUCCCGUCCGCUCUCCCAUCGAUAAACCAGUGAGGGCYGGAGUAGUAGUYGGGUCGGUGACGACCAGCGAAUGCCUGGUGUUGCAUGUU